RNAcentral lists this ribosomal RNA (450 nucleotides) under bacterium 2611-S6-01-1.1. RNAcentral describes it as "bacterial SSU rRNA". It matches the Rfam family "Bacterial small subunit ribosomal RNA", at positions 68 to 514 of the family's 1533-position model. The record is from RNAcentral.
GAUGAAGGGAGCUUGCUCCUGGAUUCAGCGGCGGACGGGUGAGUAAUGCCUAGGAAUCUGCCUGGUAGUGGGGGAUAACGUUCCGAAAGGAACGCUAAUACCGCAUACGUCCUACGGGAGAAAGCAGGGGACCUUCGGGCCUUGCGCUAUCAGAUGAGCCUAGGUCGGAUUAGCUAGUUGGUGAGGUAAUGGCUCACCAAGGCGACGAUCCGUAACUGGUCUGAGAGGAUGAUCAGUCACACUGGAACUGAGACACGGUCCAGACUCCUACGGGAGGCAGCAGUGGGGAAUAUUGGACAAUGGGCGAAAGCCUGAUCCAGCCAUGCCGCGUGUGUGAAGAAGGUCUUCGGAUUGUAAAGCACUUUAAGUUGGGAGGAAGGGCUGUAGGCUAAUAUCCUGCAGUUUUGACGUUACCAACAGAAUAAGCACCGGCUAACUUCGUGCCAGCAG